Bufo bufo (common toad) is the source of this 127-nucleotide long non-coding RNA. RefSeq lists it as uncharacterized. The transcript is spliced from 3 exons. The record is from RefSeq and is a predicted model, not a curated record. NCBI's taxonomy places the organism in Eukaryota, Metazoa, Chordata, Amphibia, Anura, Bufonidae.
GCAGUUUCAUAUGCAAGUGUCACGGUCAUAUUGGCGUUUGACCAUGACGCGGUUGCCAUGCAGAUUGGUUGCCGGUGGCAACGUGUUGUUGGCAGUUUGCAUGUGCACUUCCCCUUUAAGGAUUGCC